RNAcentral lists this ribosomal RNA (468 nucleotides) under uncultured bacterium. RNAcentral describes it as "bacterial SSU rRNA". It matches the Rfam family "Bacterial small subunit ribosomal RNA", at positions 355 to 825 of the family's 1533-position model. The record is from RNAcentral.
UGAGGAAUAUUGGACAAUGGGCGCAAGCCUGAUCCAGCCAUGCCGCGUGCAGGAUGACGGUCCUAUGGAUUGUAAACUGCUUUUGUACAGGAAGAAACAGUUCUACGUGUAGAACCUUGACGGUACUGUAAGAAUAAGGAUCGGCUAACUCCGUGCCAGCAGUCCGCGGUAAUACGGAGGAUCCAAGCGUUAUCCGGAAUCAUUGGGUUUAAAGGGUCCGUAGGCGGUUAGAUAAGUCAGUGGUGAAAGCCCAUCGCUCAACGGUGGAACGGCCAUUGAUACUGUCUGACUUGAAUUAUUAGGAAGUAACUAGAAUAUGUAGUGUAGCGGUGAAAUGCUUAGAGAUUACAUGGAAUACCAAUUGCGAAGGCAGGUUACUACUAAUGGAUUGACGCUGAUGGACGAAAGCGUGGGUAGCGAACAGGAUUAGAUACCCCCGUAGUCCCUGAGCGGGCUGGCAAGGCGCAU